Molecule: ribosomal RNA, 2915 nt
Filed under: Nitrospiraceae bacterium
Lineage: Bacteria; Pseudomonadati; Nitrospirota; Nitrospiria; Nitrospirales; Nitrospiraceae
Description: bacterial LSU rRNA
Rfam family: Bacterial large subunit ribosomal RNA
Source: RNAcentral
UCAAGGUAAGAAGGGCAUAUGGUGAAUGCCUUGGCAUCAGGCGGCGACGAAGGACGCAGCGGACUGCGAAAAUCCACGGGGAGUUGUGAGCGAGCAUAGAUCCGUGGGAUUCCGAAUGGGGCAACCCGGCCAGCGAAGAGCUGGUCAUCAUGCGCUGAAUACAUAGGCGUAUGAAGCGAACCUCCCGAAGUGAAACAUCUCAGUAGGGAGAGGAAGAGAAAUCAAACGAUAUUCCCUGAGUAGCGGCGAGCGAACGGGGAAGAGCCCAAACCUUUUUUAGCAAUAGAGAAGGGGUUGUAGGACCGCGUAAGUACCAAUUAAUGCAUAUAGCUGAAGCGGCAUGGAAAGGCCGACCGUAGAGGGUGAUAGUCCUGUAGGCGGAAUGUGUGUUAUAGGGAAGCGGUAUCCUGAGUACCACGGGACACGUGGAAUCCUGUGGGAAUCUGGGGGGACCACCCUCCAAGGCUAAAUACGUCCUGAUGACCGAUAGUGAACUAGUACCGUGAGGGAAAGGCGAAAAGAACCCCGGCGAGGGGAGUGAAAUAGAACCUGAAACCGUAUGCUUACAAAUAAUUGGAGCGGAGCAAUCCGUGACAGUGUACCUUUUGAUUAAUGGGCCGGCGAGUUACUGGCUGUAGCGAGGUUAAAUGCUUAAGGCAUGGAGCCGAAGGGAAACCGAGUCUUAAACGGGCGAAUAGUUACAGUCAGUAGACCCGAAGCCAGGUGAUCUACCCAUGGACAGGGUGAAGCGAAGGUAAGACUUCGUGGAGGCCCGAACCGGUGUUUGUUGCAAAAAGCUCGGAUGAGCUGUGGGUAGGGGUGAAAGGCCAAUCAAACCUGGUGAUAGCUGGUACUCCUCGAAAUGUAUUUAGGUACAGCCUGCAGGUAGUCGCAGGGGGGUAGGGCACUGAAUGGGCUAGGGCUACGUAGGUAGUACCAAACCCAAUCAAACCACGAAUACCCUGGCGGACGUUCCUGUGGAGUGAGACUGCGAGUGCUAAGAUCCGUAGUCGAGAGGGAAACAGCCCAGACCGUCAGCUAAGGUCCCUAAGAUAGUGCUAAGUGGGAAAGGAUGUGGUUUUACUCAGACAGCCAGGAUGUUGGCUUAGAAGCAGCCAUCAUUUAAAGAAAGCGUAAUAGCUCACUGGUCGAGUGACACUGCGCCGAAAAUGUAACGGGGCUCAAGCACUACACCGAAGCUACGGACUUGUCGCAAGGCAAGUGGUAGAGGAGCAUUCUGUGCACCUGUGAAGGUGAGUCGUGAGGCUUGCUGGAGGGGACAGAAGAGAUUAUGUCGGCAUAAGUAGCGAAUAGGCUGAUGAAAAGUCAGCCCGCCGUAAACCUAAGGUUUCCUGGGGUAGGGAAAUCCGCCCAGGGUUAGUCGGUCCUAAGGCCAGGCUGAAAGGCGUAGCCGAUGGACAGCAGGUUAAUAUUCCUGCACCAUAUGUUGUGCGUUUGACUGAAGAGGGGACGCAGGAGGAUAGUUUGAGCCUGGUGAUGGUUCAGGUCCAAGCGUGUAGGCUGGUGAGUAGGCAAAUCCGCUCACUAUUAAGGCUGAAGCGUGACGGGGAAGCCCGCAAGGGUGAACUCAGGUGAUUCCACGCUGACGAGAAAAUCCUCGUAGGGAGUACAACGUGUGACCGUACCGCAAACCGACACUGGUAGGUGGGUAGAAGAUACCAAGGCGGACGAGUUAACCCUCGCUAAGGAACUCGGCAAAAUAACCCCGUAACUUCGGGAUAAGGGGUUCCUAGCAAUAGGACGCAGUGAAGUGGACCAAGCGACUGUUUACCAAAAACACAGGUGUCUGCAAACUCGUAAGAGGAAGUAUAGGCACUGACUCCUGCCCGGUGCCGGAAGGUUAAUAGGAGGGGUUAGCCGCAAGGCGAAGCUCUGAAUUGAAGCCCCGGUAAACGGCGGCCGUAACUAUAACGGUCCUAAGGUAGCGAAAUUCCUUGUCGGGUAAGUUCCGACCUGCACGAAUGGAGUAACGACUUGGUCGCUGUCUCGGCGAGGGGCUCGGCGAACUUAAGAUACCGGUGAAGACGCCGGUUACCUGCAGCUAGACGGAAAGACCCCGUGCACCUUUACUAUAACUUGGCAGUGAGUUUUGGCAAUACAUGUGUAGGAUAGGUGGGAGGCUAUGAAGCGGGAACGCUAGUUUUCGUGGAGCCGACGUUGAAAUACCACCCUUGUGUUUCUGGGACUCUAACCUGCACCCCUUAUCGGGGUGGGGGACACUGUCUGGUGGGUAGUUUGACUGGGGCGGUCGCCUCCUAAAGAGUAACGGAGGCGUUCAAAGGUCACCUCAGGCUGGACGGAAACCAGCCGUUGAGUGCAAAGGCAUAAGGUGGCUUAACUGUGAGACUGACGGGUCGAGCAGAUACGAAAGUAGGACUUAGUGAUCCGGUGGCACUGUGUGGAAGGGCCAUCGCUCAACGGAUAAAAGGUACGCCGGGGAUAACAGGCUUAUCGCGUCCAAGAGUUCACAUCGACGACGCGGUUUGGCACCUCGAUGUCGACUCAUCGCAUCCUGGGGCUGAAGUAGGUCCCAAGGGUUCGGCUGUUCGCCGAUUAAAGCGGUACGUGAGUUGGGUUCAGAACGUCGUGAGACAGUUCGGUCCCUAUCUGCUGUAGGCGCAGGAGACUUGAGGGGGGCUGUCCUUAGUACGAGAGGACCGGGACAGACAGACCUCCAGUGUUCCAGUUGUCACGCCAGUGGCAAUGCUGGGUAGCUGUGUCUGGUGAGGAUAACCGCUGAAGGCAUCUAAGCGGGAAGCCCACCCCAAGAUGAGGUCUCCCAGGGAGUAAUCCCUCUGAAGGUCCGUGGUAGACCACCACGUCGAUAGGCUGGAGGUGUAAGCGCAGUAAUGUGUUCAGCUUACCAGUACUAAUAGACCGUGUGCCUUGACCAU